This 317-nucleotide unclassified non-coding RNA is filed under the name Hevea brasiliensis (rubber tree). Lineage: Eukaryota; Viridiplantae; Streptophyta; Magnoliopsida; Malpighiales; Euphorbiaceae. The record is from RNAcentral.
GGCUAUUUACUCUUUUUUCUUCAAAAUCUUAAACUGCAUGGGCCUAUCAUCUCUUUGCCUGAUUCUUAGAAAGGUAAAUAAAGUCUUCAGAAACAAGAAGCUCAAGUCCAAGGCAUCUUUUAGCAUGGAAGGUUGCUUGCUACCGAUUGUUGGUAUGGUAGAGGUUGUUACACCAAAGAUAAAAUGGAAAAUGAUCCAGUUAGUUACCCAGGUCAUUUGGAGUGAGCCUAUUUAAAUCAGGUGCCUUGUUUUUGCUAUUGAUUUGUUAGUGAUUAAUCAAAGUGCAUGCCUUGAAAUUAGAUGAUCUCAAUGGAGCC